GUUUCCUGGCUGGAACCAAUGCAGUAUUUAAUGCUUUGGACAUGGUAUAUGCGACUGGAAGGCCAAGUGUGUCGCAUUUGGUGCAGAUGGCGCUUCAGUCAACAUGGGUGUGCAUAGGGGAGUGAGUGAGUGCUCUACUCAAACAGGCAGACGGACAGCAUGUAAUUCCCAUUCAUUGCAUGCUUCACAGGUUGGAGUUGGCCAGUCUCAACCUGCAGCUCAAUGAGACAAUGGUGGCCAAAGUCUAUGACCUUCUCCAUCUUGUGUGGAAGACGUACCACCAGAGCCCUAAAUCCAGGCGUGAGCUGAACCUGAUUGGAGAAGAGCUAGGAAAAGAAGGGAGUCUGUCAACUGACAGUGGUCAGUAUUCGGCUGUUUUGCGCCACAUGGACCACCUUCCCUCCUCAGCAGCCAGUGCUGAAAUUCAAGGGCGUGCAAAGAAGAUUAGGAAGGGAAUGCACGAGAUUAACUUCUGCGCAUUUAGCCAUUUCCUGGCUGACGUGUUUAAUGAACUGGCCUUGCUCAGUUGCGUUCUGCAGAAGAACGACCUAAUUUUUCUUCAAGCCAUCUCAGCGCUGAGAAAGACAGUGAUGGUGUUGCAUGCUAUGCAGGAAACACCGCAAAGAGGAGGCAUGCUACGUCAGUUCAUGGAAUGUCUACAAGGGCAGGAAGAGAUCUCAUUUCAAUUCAAUUUUAUUUGUAUAGCCCUUAAUCACCAUUACAGUCUCAAAGGGCUUAACAGGCCAAAUAUUUGUGACACCCCCCUUUACCCAUGCCCCCACACGGGCAAGAAAAAACUCCCUUGAAUCAGCAAGGAAGAAAUCUUGAGAAUCUAUUCAAUCAAUUUUAAUCACCAUCACAUGUCUUUUACAUGUCUGUGUGAAAUAUUCUGUACAUGUUGUGUGCACAAGCUAAUGGAUGCUAUAACUAGGUAUGUUCUGUUAUUUUUCCAUAAUUUUUUCUUAACGGGUCUACCACUCGAAGACUACUCUGCAGUGAAUUGCAUGAAAAUCUUUCAUCAUGACUCCUGGCCUGAGAAUACCCAUGAACUGGUUGAUUAUGGCAACGAUCAGUUGGAGGCCCUAAUGGAGCAUUUUCGUCAUGUCCUUACAAGGCACGUUGCUGUCUAAUAUCAUAGAUUUGAUGGGUUACCAGAUUAUGAAACAGAUGAGGGACAAGCCUAUGUUUUUCUCUCUCUAGCUCUGGAUGCCAGAUGGAUGCUUUGUCAGGGGAAUGGCAGAGUUUGAAGACCCUCGUCAGCCACACGUUUAAGGACAAGUCCUACAGCAGCUUAUGGCAAACAGUUUCAACCAAAGAGCCAUACAGAACUGACUACAAGGUAACAUACAAUUCAGCACUUAAAUGGAAGGUUGUACUUUAAUUGUAAUGAGGUAUUUCUGGUAUGUAGAUAUUUAUUUUGAUCAGUUAGUAUGAGUCCCUUUUAAAUUACUUACAGAACAUCCUACACCCUGUGGACAUAUUGUUGGUCCUCCCAAUUUCUUCUGCACAGUGUGAGCGGGGCUUCUCUGCGCAGAAACGCCUCAAAAGCUCUUUGAGGAGCUGCUUGCAUGUCUCCACCACAGAGGAUCUUAUCAGGAUCACUACAGAGGGCCCCUCACUUGAAUUAUUUGAUCCCACUAAAUGUGCCGAACACUGGCUGUCAGCUGGAAAAUGGUCACGUCGACCCAACUACAAGUCAUGGCCAAGUGAUUCCGAGCCCGUCAUGAUUUUUGUGUAGCCUAAAUGUGAUCUUGUCUAUUUAUCUUUAGUAAAUUGGUGCUGUAUUGUGUAGCCUAAAUGUAAUCUUGUCUAUUUGUAUUAAUUUAGUUUUAGUAAGUUGGUGCGGUUGGUUUGUGCAAUUUCUGCACGCUAAUAAAUGUUCUUAACAAAAACCUGUUGUGCCCCCGUUUUUUUUUCUGUGCUCCUACAUUUUUUAACUUAGGGGCACGAGUGCUCCUGAAAAAAAAAGUUAGCGUAGAGCCCUGCUCAGGGGUAUUGAGCUCUUCCGCUGUUUGGGAAGGGUUAUCCUGUUGUCCCUCCUGGUUAGGCACCUCCUCCUGUAAUGUAGUCAGUGACAUGGAUGAUAAUUUUGUAGUAUUUCUGUAAAUAGUUCUCUGAAAUGUUUUUUUUUGUUUGUUUUAAUUGUUCAUUAUUGCCAUCGUGUUGCCUUUUUCUUUCAUCUACAACUUACUAUUUUUUUAUUUGUAGUUGUAGCCCUGCCAACUUCACUAUAAUUGUCUAGUGUAUGUUUUGUGCAAUAGCAUCUUUUUUUUAGAAACCACACCUGCUGCACCACUACAUUCUCAACCCCCUGUUCCUGUGCUUCUUUGAUAAGUUCUGUUCCACUCAGUUCCUAUUCCUUAUGAAAAUGCUAAACUUUGUUCGUAAUGUUUCAUGUUAUUGUUUCUGAAUGUUCAAGUUUUCCUUAUGUGACCCUCACCUCCACAGCUCCCGGUCCCUGUACUUCUUUGUUUUGUUCUGUUGCACUUGGUUCCUUUUUCUGAUGACAGAUGGUUCAUAAAUAAAACAAACAUUUAUUGGCACUUGUGUUUGGUUUUGAUUUGGGGAAAAUUCUGUUUUUUUUAUGUACAGUAUUGAUAAUCAUAU
Molecule: long non-coding RNA, 2607 nt
Organism: Gadus morhua (Atlantic cod)
Lineage: Eukaryota; Metazoa; Chordata; Actinopteri; Gadiformes; Gadidae
Source: Ensembl